GACGAACGCUGGCGGCGUGCCUAAUACAUGCAAGUAGAACGCACAGUUUAUACCGUAGCUUGCUCCACCAUAGACUGUGGGUUGCGAACGGGUGAGUAACGCGUAGGUAACCUGCCUGGUAGCGGGGGAUAACUAUUGGAAACGAUAGCUAAUACCGCAUAAUAUUGAUUAUUGCAUGAUAAUUGAUUGAAAGAUGCUAUUGCAUCACUACCAGAUGGACCUGCGUUGUAUUAGCUAGUAGGUGAGGUAACGGCUCACCUAGGCGACGAUACAUAGCCGACCUGAGAGGGUGAUCGGCCACACUGGGACUGAGACACGGCCCAGACUCCUACGGGAGGCAGCAGUAGGGAAUCUUCGGCAAUGGACGAAAGUCUGACCGAGCAACGCCGCGUGAGGGAAGAAGGGUUUCGGAUCGUAAAGCUCUGUUGUAAGAGAAGAACGGGUGUGAGAGUGGAAAGUUCACACUGUGACGGUAUCUUACCAGAAAGGGACGGCUAACUACGUG
Molecule: ribosomal RNA, 505 nt
Filed under: uncultured bacterium
Lineage: Bacteria
Description: partial 16S ribosomal RNA
Rfam family: Bacterial small subunit ribosomal RNA
Source: RNAcentral